UCAGCAUACGCGGUUAUACAAUAAAUGACACUUAAUAUUAUUGGUUAAAUGUAGUUAAAAUUUUAUAGAAGUUAAUUUUUAAUUUUUAAGGUGAAAUUUAAAUUUAAAUUAUUUUUGUUUUGAUUCUUACUAAAUAUAAAUUUUAAACUAGGAUUAGAUACCCUAUUAUUUUAUAUAUAAAUUUUUACCUGGGUAAUAAUAGUUAUUUUCUUUAAACCUAAAGAAUUUGGCGGUGUUUUAGUCUAUUCAGAGGAAUCUGUCCCAUUAUCGAUAGUCCACGUUUUAUCUUACUUUAUUUUGUUUUCAGUUUGUAUACCGCCGUUAUAAGUUUAUUUUAUUAGAAUAAUUAAUUUUCUUAAAAUUAAAUUUUAUUUUAUUUCA
Molecule: ribosomal RNA, 381 nt
Filed under: Parapachymorpha zomproi
Lineage: Eukaryota; Metazoa; Arthropoda; Insecta; Phasmatodea; Phasmatidae
Description: partial small subunit ribosomal RNA
Source: RNAcentral